This 460-nucleotide ribosomal RNA is filed under the name uncultured bacterium. RNAcentral describes it as "partial 16S ribosomal RNA". It matches the Rfam family "Bacterial small subunit ribosomal RNA", at positions 338 to 795 of the family's 1533-position model. The record is from RNAcentral.
CCUACGGGAGGCUGCAGUGAGGAAUAUUGGUCAAUGGACGAGAGUCUGAACCAGCCAAGUAGCGUGAAGGAUGACUGCCCUAUGGGUUGUAAACUUCUUUUAUAAGGGAAUAAACCGAGCCACGUGUGCCUUUUUGCAUGUACUUUAUGAAUAAGGAUCGGCUAACUCCGUGCCAGCAGCCGCGGUAAUACGGAGGAUCCGAGCGUUAUCCGGAUUUAUUGGGUUUAAAGGGAGCGUAGGUGGAUUGUUAAGUCAGUUGUGAAAGUUUGCGGCUCAACCGUAAAAUUGCAGUUGAGACUGGUAGUCUUGAGUACAGUAGAGGUAGGCGGAAUUCGUGGUGUAGCGGUGAAAUGCUUAGAUAUCACGAAGAACUCCGAUUGCGAAGGCAGCUUACUAAACUGCAACUGACACUGAUGCUCGAAAGUGUGGGUAUCAAACAGGAUUAGAUACCCGUGUAGUC